GUGUCAGCAGCCGCGGUAAUACAGAGGGUGCGAGCGUUGUCCGGAAUCACUGGGCGUAAAGGGCGCGUAGGUGGCGCUCCAAGUCCGUGGUGAAAGCUCGAUGCUUAACAUCGAGUCGGCCACGGAUACUGGGGGGCUCGAGCACUGUAGGGGCAGAUGGAAUUCCGGGUGUAGCGGUGGAAUGCGUAGAGAUCCGGAAGAACACCGGUGGCGAAGGCGGUCUGCUGGGCAGUUGCUGACACUGAGGCGCGACAGCGUGGGGAGCAAACAGGAUUAGAUACCCUGGUAGUCCACGCCGUAAACGAUGGGCACUAGAUGCUUGGGGGAGCGACCCCCUGAGUGUCGUCGCUAACGCAGUAAGUGCCCCGCCUGGGGAGUACGGCCGCAAGGCUGAA
RNAcentral lists this ribosomal RNA (395 nucleotides) under uncultured bacterium. RNAcentral describes it as "bacterial SSU rRNA". It matches the Rfam family "Bacterial small subunit ribosomal RNA", at positions 505 to 898 of the family's 1533-position model. The record is from RNAcentral.